Molecule: ribosomal RNA, 406 nt
Filed under: uncultured bacterium
Lineage: Bacteria
Description: partial 16S ribosomal RNA
Rfam family: Bacterial small subunit ribosomal RNA
Source: RNAcentral
AUUGAACGCUGGCGGCAGGCCUAACCCAUGCAAGUCGAACGAGUGGCGGACGGGUGAGUAAUGUCUGGGAAACUGCCUGAUGGAGGGGGAUAACUACUGGAACCGGUAGCUAAUACUGCAUACCAUCAGAUGUGCCCAGAUGGGAUUAGCUAGUUGGUGGGGUAACGGCUCACCAAGGCGACGAUCCCUAGCUGGUCUGAGAGGAUGACCAGCCACGCUGGAACGGAGACACGGUCCAGACGCCUAGGAGAGGCAGCGGGGGAGAAUAUUGCACAAUGGGCGCAAGCCUGAUGCAGCCAUGCCGCGUGUAUGAAGAAGGCCUUCGGGUUGUAAAGUACUUUCAGCGGGGAGGCGUUACCCGCAGAAGAAGCACCGGCUAACUCCGUGCCAGCCGCCGCGGUAAUUC